GACGUAGGGAGCAAGCGUUGCCCGGAAUUACUGGGCGUAAAGAGCUCGUAGGCGGGGGCGUGCGUCCGAAAGGAAAUCUCAGGGCUCAACCCUGGGGCUUUUUCGGAUACGGCGCUUCUUGAGGGUGAGAGAGGAAAGCGGAAUUCCAGGUGUAGCGGUGAAAUGCGUAGAUAUCUGGAGGAACACCAGCGGCGAAGGCGGCUUUCUGGCUCAUUCCUGACGCUGAGGAGCGAAAGCGUGGGUAGCGAACGGGAUUAGAAACCCCCGUAGUCC
This 273-nucleotide ribosomal RNA is filed under the name uncultured bacterium. RNAcentral describes it as "partial 16S ribosomal RNA". It matches the Rfam family "Bacterial small subunit ribosomal RNA", at positions 524 to 796 of the family's 1533-position model. The record is from RNAcentral.